GCCUAAUACAUGCAAGUCGAGCGAGAAGACGUAGCAAUACGUUUGUAAAGCGGCGAACGGGUGAGGAAUACAUGGGUAACCUACCCUCGAGUGGGGAAUAACUAGCCGAAAGGUUAGCUAAUACCGCAUACGACUCUCGGUCUGCGGAUCGAGAGGGAAAGCGAUACCGUGGGUAUCGCGCUCAUGGAUGGGCUCAUGUCCUAUCAGCUUGUUGGUGAGGUAACGGCUCACCAAGGCUUCGACGGGUAGCUGGUCUGAGAGGACGAUCAGCCACACUGGCACUGCGACACGGGCCAGACUCCUACGGGAGGCAGCAGUAAGGAAUAUUGCGCAAUGGGCGACAGCCUGACGCAGCGACGCCGCGUGGGGGAUGAAGGUCUUCGGAUUGUAAACCCCUUUCGGCAGGGAAGAUGGAACGGGUAACCGUUCGGACGGUACCUGCAGAAGCAGCCACGGCUAACUUCGUGCCAGCAGCCGCGGUAAUACGAAGGUGGCAAGCGUUGUUCGGAUUUACUGGGCGUACAGGGAGCGUAGGCGGUUGGGUAAGCCUUUCGUGAAAUCUCCGGGCCUAACCCGGAAAGUGCGGAGGGGACUGCUCGGCUAGAGGAUGGGAGAGGAGCGCGGAAUUCCCGGUGUAGCGGUGAAAUGCGUAGAGAUCGGGAGGAAGGCCGGUGGCGAAGGCGGCGCUCUGGAACAUAUCUGACGCUGAGGCUCGAAAGCGUGGGGAGCAAACAGGAUUAGAUACCCUGGUAGUCCACGCCUUAAACUAUGAAUACUAAGUGUCGGCGGGUUACCGCCGGUGCCGCAGCUAACGCAUU
This 818-nucleotide ribosomal RNA is filed under the name uncultured bacterium. RNAcentral's name for it is "bacterial SSU rRNA". It matches the Rfam family "Bacterial small subunit ribosomal RNA", at positions 46 to 861 of the family's 1533-position model. The record is from RNAcentral.